CUAAGUCAUAAAGCAGCAGCUGGGCCCAAGAUUCCUGGCAUCCUUCCAAUCUCACCUCCCCCGCCCUAUUUACCCAGGAGCAAAAGAAGCGGAGGGAAGCAACACAGCGCAGCGUGACUACGUGCUUGAUCUGUCUCCUCCUAACGGGCAUGCAGGUUGGUUCCAGUUUCCAGCGAUCCUAAACACACUUGGCUGGACCUCCCUGUGCCUACAGAGGCAACCCAGGUGCCUUAGGUAAGUGACCCCAUUCCCUGCCCUGCCUUGGAGGGCCGGAUGAGUCAAAGAGUAAUCUUAUCCCUCUGCUAGUGAGUACAAAUGAAGUCUGUGGGCCAACAAGGAGCGAGGAGCAGUUUCCUGGAAGCCCUGGGCUGGUGUUUGACUUGCUUUGAGAUAGAAUAAAUGGGAGAAAGAGACUUUAUGGGACAUCUGGGCCUAGGGCUCCUGGAUGCUGUGCUGAAAACACCACGUACAGAAGCCAGUCUAACCUUCUGGAUGAUGAGAGCCCAGAUGCAGUACAGAGGUGCCCCAGCCAACAAUCAGCUGCUAUCUGAAUCCCAUCUGGAUCCCAUCUGAAUCCCAUGUCACCAUGAAUGAGGCCACCUUAGCCCAGCCAGCACAGCUGAAAGCCAGAAGCAGCCGCAUGCACAAGCCCAGGGGAAGCCCACAGAGGAACCACCAGCCAACACACAGAAUUGCAAGCAGUUAAGCAACUAAGAUUAAGACAACAAUUUUAAAAUGAACCAGGUCCGGCCGGGUGCGGUGGCUCUCAGGCCUGUAAUCCCAGCACUUUGGGAGGCCGAAGCGAGCGGGUCACCGGAGGUUGGGAGUUCGAGACCAGCCUGACCAACAUGGAGAAACCCCGUCUCUACUAAAAAUACAAAGUUAGCCAGGCGUGGUGGCGCAUGCCUGUAAUCCCAGCUACUCGGGAGGCUGAAGUAAGGUUAUAACAUGGCCUGGCGUGCAGUACGUGCUCAAUAAAUGCUCACCGUUAUUGUUGAUCAGGCAUUUCUGAUCUUGUCCCC
RNAcentral lists this long non-coding RNA (1022 nucleotides) under Homo sapiens (human). Its description in RNAcentral is "HSALNT0401590". Lineage: Eukaryota; Metazoa; Chordata; Mammalia; Primates; Hominidae. The record is from RNAcentral.